RNAcentral lists this ribosomal RNA (253 nucleotides) under uncultured bacterium. Its description in RNAcentral is "partial 16S ribosomal RNA". It matches the Rfam family "Bacterial small subunit ribosomal RNA", at positions 524 to 776 of the family's 1533-position model. The record is from RNAcentral.
UACGAAGGGGGCUAGCGUUGCUCGGAAUUACUGGGCGUAAAGGGCGCGUAGGCGGAUAGUUUAGUCAGAGGUGAAAGCCCAGGGCUCAACCUUGGAACUGCCUUUGAUACUGGCUAUCUUGAGUUCGGGAGAGGUGAGUGGAAUGCCGAGUGUAGAGGUGAAAUUCGUAGAUAUUCGCAAGAACACCAGUGGCGAAGGCGGCUCACUGGCCCGAUACUGACGCUGAGGUGCGAAAGCGUGGGGAGCAAACAGG